This 433-nucleotide ribosomal RNA is filed under the name uncultured bacterium. RNAcentral's name for it is "partial 16S ribosomal RNA". It matches the Rfam family "Bacterial small subunit ribosomal RNA", at positions 29 to 507 of the family's 1533-position model. The record is from RNAcentral.
AAUGAACGCUGGCGGCAUGCCUAACACAUGCAAGUCGAACGAGACCUCCGGGUCUAGUGGCGCACGGGGGCGUAACCCGUGGGAUAAUGCCCUUGGGUUCGGAAUAACUCCCUGAAAGGGGUGCUAAUACCGGAUAAUGUCUUCGGACCAAAGAUUUAUCGCCUUUGGAGGGGCGCGAGUUGGAUUAGCUAGUUGGUAGGGUAAAAGCCUACCAAGGCGAGGAUGCAUAGCUGGUCUGAGAAGCUGAUCCGCCACGCCUGGGCUAAGACACGGACCAGACUCGUACGCAGGAGAGGAGAGUAGAAUAUUAGACAAGGGAGGCAGAUGUGAUCCCGCCAUGCGGGGGAAGUGGUGAAUGGCGUAGGGAUGUAAUGCUCUUUUAGCCGAGGUGAUAAUGACGGUACCGGGAGAAUAAGCACCGGCUAACUACGUG